RNAcentral lists this ribosomal RNA (254 nucleotides) under uncultured bacterium. RNAcentral describes it as "partial 16S ribosomal RNA". It matches the Rfam family "Bacterial small subunit ribosomal RNA", at positions 28 to 280 of the family's 1533-position model. The record is from RNAcentral.
GACGAACGCUGGCGGCGUGCUUAACACAUGCAAGUCGAACGGUGAAAGAGGAGCUUGCUCCUCUGGAUCAGUGGCGAACGGGUGAGUAACACGUGAGUAACCUGCCCUUGACUCUGGGAUAAGCGUUGGAAACGACGUCUAAUACCGGAUACGACAACCGAUGGCAUCAUCUGGUUGUGGAAAGAAUUUCGGUCAAGGAUGGACUCGCGGCCUAUCAGCUAGUUGGUGAGGUAAUGGCCCACCAAGGCGACGAC